This 76-nucleotide transfer RNA is filed under the name Chattonella subsalsa. The record is from RNAcentral. Lineage: Eukaryota; Raphidophyceae; Chattonellales; Chattonellaceae.
GUAAUAGCUCAGUUGGUAGAGUGGCGAAUUAAUAUCCAGCCAAAGAUAAAGUCGCGGGUUCAAUUCCAUCUAUGGU